This 270-nucleotide ribosomal RNA is filed under the name uncultured archaeon. Its description in RNAcentral is "partial 16S ribosomal RNA". It matches the Rfam family "Archaeal small subunit ribosomal RNA", at positions 477 to 747 of the family's 1478-position model. The record is from RNAcentral.
CAGCACCUCAAGUGGUCAGGAUGAUUAUUGGGCCUAAAGCAUCCGUAGCCGGCGCUGUAAGUUUUCGGUUAAAUCUGUACGCUCAACGUACAGGCUGCCGGGAAUACUGCAGCGCUAGGGAGUGGGAGAGGUAGACGGUAUUCGGUAGGAAGGGGUAAAAUCCUUUGAUCUAUUGAUGACCACCUGUGGCGAAGGCGGUCUACCAGAACACGUCCGACGGUGAGGGAUGAAAGCUGGGGGAGCAAACCGGAUUAGAUACCCGAGUAGUCC